Molecule: ribosomal RNA, 460 nt
Filed under: uncultured bacterium
Lineage: Bacteria
Description: partial 16S ribosomal RNA
Rfam family: Bacterial small subunit ribosomal RNA
Source: RNAcentral
CCUACGGGGAGCAGCAGUGAGGAAUAUUGGUCAAUGGACGCAAGUCUGAACCAGCCAUGCCGCGUGCGGGAAGACGGCUCUAUGAGUUGUAAACUGCUUUUGUACGAGGGUAAACGCAGAUACGCGUAUCUGUCUGAAAGUAUCGUACGAAUAAGGAUCGGCUAACUCCGUGCCAGCAGCCGCGGUAAUACGGAGGAUUCAAGCGUUAUCCGGAUUUAUUGGGUUUAAAGGGUGCGUAGGCGGUCGGAUAAGUUAGAGGUUAAAUCCCGAGGCUCAAAUUCGGAAUUGCCUCUGAUACUGUUCGGCUAGAGAGUAGGUGCAGUAUGCGGAAUGUAUGGUGUAGCGGUGAAAUGCAUAGAGAUCAUACAGAACACCGAUUGCGAAGGCAGCAUACCAAGCCACUUCUGACGUUGAGGCACGAAAGCGUGGGGAGCAAACAGGAUUAGAUACCCUUGUAGUC